GUUUAGCCCCGAUUGUAGCGGCAUCCUUUUUUACUGUCAGUUCGAGUGAAUUUGUGAAGUAUGAACAAAUUUGUAUCGAGAACAGAGGUAAAAAAGAUAUAGCGGAAAGCGGGAAAUAGC
This 120-nucleotide small RNA is filed under the name Tenacibaculum todarodis. RNAcentral's name for it is "Tenacibaculum sp. LPB0136 Flavo-1 RNA". It matches the Rfam family "Flavo-1 RNA". Lineage: Bacteria; Pseudomonadati; Bacteroidota; Flavobacteriia; Flavobacteriales; Flavobacteriaceae. The record is from Rfam by way of RNAcentral.